ACGGAGGGAGCGAGCGUUAAUCGGAAUUACUGGGCGUAAAGCGCGCGUAGGCGGCUUUGUAAGUCGGAUGUGAAAGCCCUGGGCUUAACCUGGGAAUGGCAUUCGAUACUGCAGAGCUAGAGUAUGGUAGAGGGAAGUGGAAUUCCGGGUGUAGCGGUGAAAUGCGUAGAUAUCCGGAGGAACACCAGUGGCGAAGGCGACUUCCUGGGCCAAUACUGACGCUGAGGUGCGAAAGCGUGGGGAGCAAACAGG
RNAcentral lists this ribosomal RNA (252 nucleotides) under uncultured bacterium. RNAcentral describes it as "partial 16S ribosomal RNA". It matches the Rfam family "Bacterial small subunit ribosomal RNA", at positions 525 to 776 of the family's 1533-position model. The record is from RNAcentral.